RNAcentral lists this ribosomal RNA (91 nucleotides) under Campylobacterales bacterium. Its description in RNAcentral is "partial 16S ribosomal RNA". It matches the Rfam family "Bacterial small subunit ribosomal RNA", at positions 1 to 87 of the family's 1533-position model. The record is from RNAcentral. Lineage: Bacteria; Pseudomonadati; Campylobacterota; Epsilonproteobacteria; Campylobacterales.
AUUAUGGAGAGUUUGAUCCUGGCUCAGAGUGAACGCUGGCGGCGUGCUUAACACAUGCAAGUCGAACGGUAGCAGGAUAGUGCUUGCACUA